GAAACAGAAGAAGGAGCUGAUCACCGCAGACCCUCGCCCAAAUCCCAGCUCUGCCCUGGGGGUGCUCCCCUUCACGGAAAGGAGAAGGAGGGUUGGAGCUGAGGUAGGGAAGUGUAGGACAAUUGCCUGCUGAGAGGGGGUGGCUGGGACCAAGGCGGAGGCACGGAACAUCACCAUGAAAAGCAGUGCCUGGGGAGUUCUGGCUCAAAGAUGGGGAGACUGAGGCCCCGGGGCGGCGGGUGAUCUGUGCACGGACACUCUGCAGAGGUGAAUGUCUUUUGAACCCAAGACCCCUGCCUCCAGCCAACAGUGGCCUCUCUUGACGAAAGUCUGGCAGAGAGAGACUGGGCGAUGAUGUGGAGGUCACAGUGGGAGAGCCUGCCUGGAGUUCUUGGCUAUGAUCUUGGACCCUACGUGGAGAUGAAGGUACCGAUUCCUUGCUCUCCUGGGAGGCAGAGGAGCCUCUCCUUCAGCCCACCCCUUCCUACCAAGAUAGGCUUCCCAACCCCUGACUAUAUGCUGAGAAUGGACUCAUGGAUGGAGACCUUGCAAGGAGGACAAGGGUUUCCUCUCAUCCCUACAUCUCUGCCUCCCCUCCAGGACCCUGAGCUCCCCGAGAAAAGGAAGAAAAUGUCAUCCCCUCUGACUGAAGGUGUCCCUGUGAUCUUCACGGGGUUAUUGCCGACCCAUUACUUUUCACACUAAUGACAUGCUCAUCGCUGUCAAUGCCUUUUUAUUUCUUGAGAAGUGUUUAUACUCUUGCAACAGCCUGAUAAGUGAAAUCAUCUAACACUUGGAAACAAGGCAAAUAGAUAACUGGUGUUCUUUCAAAGGCAAAUUAGAGUGGUGGCUAACAAGCCCUCCUAAGGGUCAUCUGACACUCCAGGGGAAUGUCACUUUGCUUGACUUAUUAUUUACUAUUGAUUAGGGCCCAGGCUCUGUAAAGAUAGCUGUUAGCUGGUAGAAAACUGAUAAGUUGCCAAUUGUUUUUGUCUGGUUGAAAUGCAAAUGAUCACUUCUCAAUAGAAAAGAUAACCCCAGCAUUAUGAUUUUAUUGCUGCAUAGAACCUUAACCAGUUUUGCAUCUAACUUAGCAUACUUAGGAAUAGUCCAGAAUUCUUGGGGGGGUUUUGGGGUUAUUGUUUUUGUUUUUCCUGAAUCUUUCCACCUAUAGUUAGAUAUAAGGUUUUUGUCCUCAUACCCUUCAUCUAACUAGUUUUGUUCCUUCAUUUAUAAGCUACAUAAAAUUAACAUGUGCUCACUAUGUAUUUCUACAUAGAAUUGUGUAUUUCAUGUUUUGAAAGCUAUACUUUGAGAAGAUUUUCACAGUAUUUGGUUUUUCCUCGUGCUCACUCUGCCACUCUCUGCGUGACCUUGGGCAAGUCUUUCUAUCUCUGGUCUUAAGUUAUUUCAUAUGUAAAACAGGAGCAACCAGGCUGACCAUUCUGGCUCUGACAUAAUAUUUCUAACUCCUCUUGGCGGGGAAGCAAGACUAACACAAUGCAAUCAAAGAUGUUCCUGGAAGGGAUGUUACAGACCAGCCUUCCUGCUUCCCACCAUGCCUUCAUCUUGACAGAAGGAGAAACUGAGGCUCAGAGGGGUUAGGUAACUUGCCCAAGGUCACACAGAUAUUAUUCAUAAUGAUGACUUAUUUUGCUGUUGUGUUUGACAGUAUAAACUUCCUCAUAUAUUCCUAUAAUCCCUCAGCAGCCCACUGAGCAGGCUGUAUCAUCCCCAUUUAACAGAUAAAGAAACUGAGGCCCAGCAAAGUGACGUGGCUUGCCCAAGGUCAUAGGGAGAUUUCAGCCCCCCCAAGCCCCUGAAUCCUGGGGACCACCCUUAAGUAUCAUUGUCUGGAGUUUUUGUAUAUAUGUGUGAUGUCAUACAAGACGGCAAAUGAAAAAGGAGUCCCAAAGCCUUGAAAACUCUGGCCCUAGACUCUCAUGACCUGCCCAGGUACGACAGCCCUCCCUCUUCUCCUCUUCUUCUCCUCCUCCCUCUGGCAAAAUUCUCAGGAAAAAAUUUAAAAAAACCAUGGUGGGAGUUCCCAUCGUGGCGCAGCAGAAAUGAAUCCUACUAGGAACCAUGAGGUUGCAGGUUCGAUCCCCGGUCUGGCUCAGUGGGUUAAGGAUCGGGCGUUGCCGUGAGCUGUGCUGUAGGUUGCAGAUGUGGCUUGGAUCCCAUGUUGCUGUGGCUGUGGCAUAGGCCGGCGGCUACAACUCCGAUUCAACCCCUGGGAACCCUAGAAAAAUACAAAAGACAAAAAAAAAAAAAAAAAAAA
This 2281-nucleotide long non-coding RNA is filed under the name Sus scrofa (pig). Its description in RNAcentral is "lncRNA (ENSSSCG00055029474.1)". The record is from RNAcentral. Lineage: Eukaryota; Metazoa; Chordata; Mammalia; Artiodactyla; Suidae.